GGACGGUUAGCUCAAUGGUUAGAGCGUCCGGUUUACAUCCGGGAGGUUGUAGGUUCGAGUCCUAUACCGUCCA
RNAcentral lists this transfer RNA (73 nucleotides) under Parcubacteria group bacterium CG08_land_8_20_14_0_20_38_56. RNAcentral's name for it is "tRNA-Val". It matches the Rfam family "tRNA". Rfam says of the family: Transfer RNA (tRNA) molecules are approximately 80 nucleotides in length. The record is from RNAcentral. RNAcentral also lists the same sequence under 1 other name.